Molecule: ribosomal RNA, 443 nt
Filed under: uncultured Oscillospiraceae bacterium
Lineage: Bacteria; Bacillati; Bacillota; Clostridia; Eubacteriales; Oscillospiraceae
Description: bacterial SSU rRNA
Rfam family: Bacterial small subunit ribosomal RNA
Source: RNAcentral
CCUACGGGGGGCUGCAGUGGGGAAUAUUGGGCAAUGGGCGAAAGCCUGACCCAGCAACGCCGCGUGAAGGAAGAAGGCCUUCGGGUUGUAAACUUCUUUUAUGAGGGACGAAGGAAGUGACGGUACCUCAUGAAUAAGCCACGGCUAACUACGUGCCAGCAGCCGCGGUAAUACGUAGGUGGCAAGCGUUAUCCGGAUUUACUGGGUGUAAAGGGCGCGUAGGCGGGAAGGCAAGUCAGAUGUGAAAUCCAGGGGCUCAACCCCUGAACUGCAUUUGAAACUGCUUUUCUUGAGUGUCGGAGAGGUAGAUGGAAUUCCUAGUGUAGCGGUGAAAUGCGUAGAUAUUAGGAGGAACACCAGUGGCGAAGGCGAUCUACUGGACGAUAACUGACGCUGAGGCGCGAAAGCGUGGGGAGCAAACAGGAUUAGAUACCCGAGUAGUC